UAGGAAAAGAGAUUUGUUGCCUUGAAUUAGAUUGCAAGAAUAAUGUAUCUGAAUCUGAUGAUUGCUGUAGCAUCCCUGGAAUCAAAUCUUAUAUCAUAUUUUCGGGUAAUCUUGUUAUGUACUGCUACGAGUGCAAGUAGAUGAGAGAUCAAGAAGUUCUGAGAAGGAAAGACUCUGUACUUUCAAUAAAUAAAUAAUUACAUAAUUUAAUCUUAACUAUUUCAGAUCUGAUAAUAAAAGUUACAUAAAACCAAA
Long non-coding RNA from Amphimedon queenslandica, 255 nucleotides. RefSeq lists it as uncharacterized. NCBI's taxonomy places the organism in Eukaryota, Metazoa, Porifera, Demospongiae, Haplosclerida, Niphatidae. The transcript is spliced from 2 exons. The record is from RefSeq and is a predicted model, not a curated record.